This 804-nucleotide non-coding RNA is filed under the name Dahira obliquifascia. The record is from RNAcentral. Lineage: Eukaryota; Metazoa; Arthropoda; Insecta; Lepidoptera; Sphingidae.
AAAAGUUCUAUGUGAAAAAUUAUACAUAUAAAUAAAUUUUUUAUGGUUUAAAGAUUUUUAUUUAAAUUUGUUUUACAUAUAAAUUUUAGUGUUAAAUAUUAAUUAUUUAAAUAAUAUUUAAUUUUUAUUAUAGUAAUUAAUUUUAAAAAUUUAAGAAAUUAAGAUUUAGUAAUAUUUUAAUUUAAUAACUAAUUUUGUGCCAGCAGUUGCGGUUAUACAAAAAUUAAUUAAAAAUUUUUUAGUUGUUAAUAAUUAUUUAAUUGGAUAAUUUAAAUUUAAGAUUGUUAAGUGAAAUUUUAAUUUUAUAAAAAAUUAUUUUAUAGUUAAGAAUUAAUAAAUUUUAUUAAAAACUAGGAUUAGAUACCCUAUUAUUAAAAAUUUAAAUGUAAAAUACUAAAAUAGUAGGUAUAUUUAUUGAAACUUAAAUAAUUUGGCGGUAUUUUAGUAUAUUUAGAGGAAUCUGUUUAAUAAUUGAUAUUCCACGAGUAAAUUUACUUAAUUUAGGAUUUUGUAUAUCGUUGUUAUAAAAAUAUUUUUUAAUAAUAAUAAUAUUUGAAAAUUUUUAUAAAAAAUUAAAUCAGAUCAAGAUGCAGAUUAUAAUUAAGAAUAUAAUGGAUUACAAUAAAUUUAUUUAGUUGGAUUUUAAUAUGAAAAGAUUAAUUGAAAUUGGAUUUAAAUGUAAUUUUAUUUAAAUUAAUAGAAUGAUUAUUAAUUAAAAUAUGUACAUAUUGCCCGUCGCUUUCAUUUAUAAAUUGGAAUAAGUCGUAACAAAGUAGAGGUACUGGAAAGUGUUUCUAGAAAGAU